CUCAUCCAGGAGCGGAGACGGCGGAGAGAGGAUCUCCCGGCGUGGAGGCGCACACCGCGGGAGGGGGGGGCAAGAAAUGAUGCCCUGCUAUCGCCGGUAGCCGCGGUGCUUCCGUGCGGACACUUGUGACCCCGUUUUCCCCUUUUUAAGCCUCUCCAUCUCCUAACCAAAAACCACCGGAGCACUCGCGUCGGUCUUCACCGGACUCAUGAUGACCAAAACCGGGACACUGAUUCUUCUCUGUGCGUUCCUGGGCUCCGGGGAACUCCAGGCGCAGGAGCAAGACCCCCGCAGGCUUCUUCCCCCGCCAGCUACGUUGGACUUCGGCUACGUUCCCUCGGGGGUCUACGAGACGGUGGCCCACUACGAACCCGGACCCAUCGGGAUCCUGUUCCACAUGGUGCACACUUGGCUGUGCCUGGUCCAGCCCAACGACUUCCCGCAAGAUCUCCUGGUCCGAUUGGCCAAGGACAGGUUUGGAAACAUUCAGACUGAAUACCAGAAGCCUGAGAACAUAGUGCUGAGCCUGCAGGCCAUCUACUACGAGAUGGGCUUCCUGGUGUGCGCCGUGGUGGGUGCGCUCUUCACCGUCCUGGUGCCCGUGGUGGGCCUCUUCUUCUGCAUGUGCCGCUGCUGCGACAACUGCGGCGGCGAGAUGCACCAGCGCCAGAGGAAGAACGCCGACUGCCGGCGCGGCCUGCUGGGGACGCUGCUCUUCUCCACCUCGCUGGUCAUCACGAUCGGCGUGUUGUGCGCGUACGCCGCCAACCAGAACCUCAGCGCUCAAAUCAAGAACAUCCGCCGUCUGGUCAACAGCAACAUGAGGGACCUGCACACCUUUGCCAACGACACGCCCAUGCAAAUUGAUUACCUGUCCUCCCAAUAUGCCACAGCCAAGAACCAAGUCCUGUACGACCUGGAGAACAUAGGUCCGCUAUUAGGUGGAAGGAUACGCAAUCAGUUAGAUAAGGAGGUGCAGCCCGCCAUGGACGCCGUGCUGAAGAUGACGGGAGUGAAAAUCGACAGAGCCAUCAAAGCCAUGCGGGAGACCAAGGAGGCCCUGGAGAACGUCAGCGUGUCGCUGCAAGUCCUGCAGGAGGGCACGGGCAAGCUCAACUUCAACCUGAGCCUGGUGAGGGCCAGCAUCAACCGCACUCUCAACGACCCCGGCUGCCACGACGAGGAGUCGGACGCCACCUCCGCCCAGCUGUGCCGCAACAUCCGCCAGUCGCUGUCGCAGCUGCAGAUCAGCGCCAACUUCACGCGGCUUCCCAACGUGAAUUCUCAGCUGGAGAAGAUGAACGCCGUGUUGAAGACUGAUCUCAGUGGCGUCGUUCACAAGGGUUACGCCUCCUUGAACGACACCCCUUAUACGGUGAUGGUACAGACCAGAAACAUUGUACACAGGGUCCAGAGUUUGGUGAGCGACAUCGGCAGCAACAUCAGCAACUUCUCCAAAGCUUUCCCGGUGCAGAGCUCGCUCUCCAACUUCACCAUCUUCAUCAGCCACGCCCACGCCAAGAUCGAGGACCACUACCCCGACAUCGACCGACUGGACUUCUACAGGUGGAUCGGCUGCGUGGCUCUGUGCUGCAUGGUGGUCCUGGUGCUGGCCUUCAACUACCUGGGCCUGCUGUGCGGCACGCUGGGAUACGACAAGCACGCCUCGCCCACCACCCGGGGAUGCAUCUCCAACACGGGAGGAACCAUGCUGAUGGCCGGCGUGGGCUUCAGCUUCAUCUUCUCCUGGGUGCUCAUGGGCCUCCUGACCGCCAUCUUCCUGCUCGGGGGAAACAUGGAGAAGCUCAUCUGUGAGCCGUUUCACUCCAGAGAACUCUUUAAGGUUGUAGACGCUCCGUACAUGGUGAACCCCGAGUGGAGGAACUUCAUCCCGGGAUACAUGUACAACGACUCGGAGCUGGAGCUCACUGCAGAGAGCCUGUACAGUACUUGCAAAGAAAACAAAGGUAUUUACUCCGCCCUGCGUCUGGACAAAGUCUUCAACGUCUCCUCUUUCCUGAACAACACAUUGUUCACAAAAGAUGUUGCAGCUCAUUUGAGCGGCGUCAAAAUUGACCUGAGAGGAAUCAUCUUGUUGGAAGCGGAGGGCAAGCAGAACCUUCUGGAUUUUUCAGAGGCGGGACUUUCGGAAACCAACUAUGCCGACUACCUGGAGGAGGUCAACAAAGGCGUGACAGUGGAGGACCUGCUUUCAUUUGCCAAAGAGCUGGAAGCCCAGACGGACCUCAUGCCUAGGGGCCGUCUGCAAAGCGCUUUGAAAGGUCACGUGGGCACAGUCAGACAGAUCCACAACCAGCAGGUGGUCCCCAUGCAGCAGGCCAUGAAAUAUGUUAGAGCCAGGAGCGCCCUGAACCAGAGCAUGAGGUUCCUGGAGAGGACGGCGUCAGACCUGCCGAACAAAGUGUUAGCGGUGCUGGAUGCUGUGGAUGCUGUGCAGUAUCUCAUCUCCCACAAUGCAACACACCUCAUUAACCGGGAAACGGCUAAAUACGCAGCAGCCAUUGUGGGAUACUUCCAACAGUACAUCGAGUGGGUAAAGACGUCGCUCGCUAUGGAGGUGGCGCCGUGCAAGCCCUUCAGCAACAUGCUGGAUACGGUGGAAAUCAUCACCUGCAGCUUCCUGGUGGACUCCAUGAACGUGUUCUGGAUGGGUCUGGGCUGCAGCACGCUCUUCCUCAUCCCCAGCGUCAUCCUGGCCGUCAAGCUGGCCAAGUUCUACCGCAGGAUGGACACGGAGGACGUUUACGACGAUAUGGAAAGUGGUAAUAAUGGUUAUCAUAUGGAGCCCUCACAAGGCAUCCUAAACCCCCCCAUGACCAGCAUCCCGACCUAUGACACCAUGAACAGGUUCCCGCGGGCCUCGGCUCCUCCGAGGCACAUCGACUGGUGACGGAGAGCCGUGGUUUGUGGUUCCUCACAGGCUUCUUUUAGGGCUUUUCUUCUUCCGACAGCGACAUCACGCGGCCAUGACGGCUGGAGCUAAAGCGGCGCACGGAUUCUUCUGUAGUGAAAGUUUGGACCUGACUGAACUGAACUGAAGUGAAAAUGAGGAAGAACUUUGGGAGCCCGUGGAUUGUUUUCAUCUCCAUCUUUCCUCGGCCAAGACCUUUCCGCAGGACAUCAAACUUCCGCUCCUCCAACCGGGCCGGUCUGGAUCCGGAUGGGCUGCCACCUCUCUGUUUACAUUGGUCUCAAACUGGACUUGACGCUAUUUCACCACAACCGUGACGCUAAGUAGUCACAUGAAGGUAACCACGCCAUGCUAACGGCUGUGCUAAUGAGAUGGCUUGCUUAUUGUUGCUUUAUCAAAACGGACGCAAAUAAUGUUUGGUAUUUGCACCAUGUUGGCACCAAUGAAAAAAAAUAGACGGACUGUAUCUAGCGUGACUUUCAAUGUUUACAAUAUGAAUAUGAAUAAUAAUAGAAGGUCGCUCGUUGCAUAAAGACUGGUUGCCUUUAACUUUGGCAUUUACUGCUUUUUAAAGGGACGCUUCGCCCUGAGACGCGCUUACGCUUCUUUAGAAGUAUCGUGUUGUUAGCUUAGGCAUUUUUGAUAACGCUGUACGCUUCUGCAAAUUUCGCCACAACUCCAAGCGUUGAAAUUCAUCAUCGUCCUUCCGUCCGAACAUUUGUGCAGCGAACACGGGUCACAAUUUUAUGAGGAUCACGUUCAAAUUUAAUGCCUUCAUAAGCGUGCUCCAGAUCUCCUCAUCGGCCAAAAACUGUAUCGUUUCUUUGAUUUUUGAUGAAGUUAUUUUCCUUAGUUGAAGUCAGUCAAAAAGUUGACAUUAGCGUACAGUAAACCUCGGAUAUAUCGGACUCUGAUAUAUCGGAAAUUCGCUCACAACGGACAGAUAAAAAAGAACCAAUUUUUCUGUAAUGCAUUUCCAAUAAAAAUUCAUUGCAUAUAUCAGCUUUUUUAUAACGGAUUUCGCCUAUUUCGGACAAAAUCUCCAGUCCCGUUCCAAUGCAUUUCCAUUAAAUUUCCCUCGCAUAUAUCGGAUGGCCGCAUCGUGGCGCUCCGAAUCGUGACAGGCCGCUAUACGACGUCAUUUGCAGCGUUUGCAGCGUUGCCUGCGCGUCCAGGUACAUUGGAAAGGAACAAGGAAGUGCCUUUUUAUAACGGAUAAAAUCCGAUUUACGCAUAUACCGGAUAUAAAUCCGAUAUAUGCGUAAAACGGACAUUUUCCGGUAUACGCAUAUAACGGAUUUCGCUUAUAUCGGACAAAACCAGUGGGAACAAUUGAAUCCGAUAUAUCCGAGGUUUACUGUAUUACGUUUACAUUGAUAUAAAUGUUGCGGAGGAGGUCUCUCUUGGUGAUACAUUGUGGUCAUCUACAACCAGUUUAUGACCAAUUCACGCCAUUUGCAUACUACAAAAUAAAAUACAGUUUAACCAAAGAGUGACUUCACAGCCUGCGAAUCAAACUUUUAACUAACUAUAAAUAUUUCAAGAAAAAACAUGCGUAACUUUGCUUUUUAUGUUAUUCAUCAACAUUCCGAAUCCUCUGAUUUAUCCCAGCAUCCUUACCUGUCACUAUUUGGAGAACAAUCACAUCGGUUUUCCCACAAAUGAAUCAAAAACGAUUAUUAUUUUCAUUCAAAAUACGAAUAAGGUGAAAGAAUAUCUGCUUUAUAUCAUUUUGGUAACAUUUUAUGUCUUUUUUUAACAAUUCAAUGUAAUUACAUCGGUGACGAUACUUACAAAAUGGAGAAUUGUUCUUCUCAAGCCAAAUUCUAUUUUUUACCGUAGAUCUCAGGUGGUUUUUAGCACGCGCUUGUUAACUACCCGCUAGUUUGUUGUUGUUUUUUUUAAUGAAUCUAUCAUGACGUUAAAUAUGGAUACAUUUAUGGAAUACACCUUAGAAGAAGCGAAUGUAUUCAAGUUUUGUUUUUCUGUGCGAUGAAACUGAUGCUAACGCAUCCUGGGUGAUGUACGCACCUUCAUGCUAGUUGCUGCUGUUGAUGUUUAAAAAAAGGACAAUCUAUCCAUUGGAUUGAUAUUAUGAUAUUAUGAUAUUAUGGGAUGUGAUGGUGUUGACACGACGCAUACUGUGACAAAUGUUCAAAUGUGAAACGACGGCCUCUGCUUUCCGCAACUUGCUAAUCUAGCAAGCUAGCAAGUGUCUAAGAAUGCUAUCUUGUAAGAAGACAUUAAGCUAGGCUAAUUGAACUUCUUGAUUUAUUUGGGAUUUAUUUGUGUCAUGUCGAGUUGAAUCAAGUAUACAAAUGCCAUUAUUUGAUUUUUUAAUAAUUUUUUUAGAGUGUUUAAGAGCAUUUUCACACAGCUGGGAUGUUCUGUGUACCAGUUUUGUCUGACAAAUUGAAGUGUUACUAAUAUUAUUCCACUUUGUAGUAAUAUUUCCCUUUUUAGAUAUGAACUCUAACCUUUAUGAAGCAAAAAACUUCAUUAUAUUCAUAUUUGGUACCACCAUGUUUGGCUACAGAUUAGCUAGUAAACUAGCCAACCUUUUGUGCCCAUACAUUUACAUUUAAAUGAUGUAUGGCUAUAUUUCCACACUGUAAUUGUAUGUAUUGCGACAUAGUGCCCACAUUAACAUAGGGUCAUAUUUACGGUAUGUAUUAUAACGUUUGCAGAGAGGCGGAGGUGGUUAAUCGACAAGGUGUACGACAGUGUCGAGAUGUGCGAAUGCGAUGAACGAACCAUAGAAAACUCGUAAAUUUCGUACUUUUUCAAAGGAAUCUGGUUUCCCAUAACAACAAUUGCUACUCGAUCUAACCCGAAAACGCAAUCGGUUCUACGCAUGCGCAAGACCACAUCACUUUUUACGACGAUUUUCACGUACUGCGCAACAUAAAUGGUCAAUUACAAUAUAUUGUGACGGGUUAUUUUAGUGAUUCUUAAUCAAAUUUUUCGCUAACAUGCGGAUGUAGCACGUAGCGCAUACGCAGAUGUGCCACACAUUUGAACGUCACAUCCGGUCAAAUAUAAUCUACAUGAAUAAAUACAAAUAUUACAACGCAUAUAAAGUAAAACAUAAAUCAUGGUCAUAUUUGAAUGUCAAGUUUUGGAUUAAUCUAGAGCAGGGGUCAGCAACCCGCGGCUCCAGAGCCGCAUGUGGCUCUCCAGCCUCUUUGUUGCGGCUCCCUUUGCAAUGCUUGAAUAUUUUUUAGCACCCGUGUGGUGAAAAUGCACGUCUUUGUUAUGAGUUUACAAAAAUCCAACUUUGUGUGAGACCAUGAAUGCAUCCUGACUGAGUUCUGACUGGUGACUGAAUGAGCAUGAAGCGAAAUUAGAAGGGAAAUGAGUAAUACUUUGAGUUAUUAAUUAUUAUUAAUGAGUUAUUUGACGAUUCUAAAAAAUAAAUUAGAGCUCAUUUAAAAACAAAAGUUUAUCUCCAGUACUAGCAAGAGUACUCCAACUCGUCUUUUUUUUUCCCUCCAAUGUUGUUUUAAACAUACAACGUUUUGCGGCUCCAGGCUAUUUUUCUUUAGUGGGCAAGUGGGUGAAAUGGCUCUUUUCAUAGUAAAGGUUGCCGACCCCUGAUCUAGAGGAUUCAGCUAAUUUUGUUUUUCUAAACAGAGAAAUAUCGUCCAUCCAAACACUGCAUCUUUUCAUAAAAAAAUUUCGAUUAUAAAAAAAAAAAUAUGGAAUCACAAAAAGAAGACUUAUUUAUUGAUAUUGUUGCCGGAUAUUCACGCUAUAUGCCGUAAAAUAGACCAAUGGAUGACAUAGAUUACACAUACGUAGCACAAAUCCAAAGCCGAAAAAUAGGCCAAUCGGGUGUAGAUGCGGUCUGCGCAUGCGUACAACCGAUUGCGUUUCCGAUACGGACUGCGUAGCGUCGAUGGCUUUUCCCAUACCCAACCCCAUGAUGCGUUCAGGGCAACCCAAAACUGUCGGACACAACACAGAACACAAAUAUAACAGUUAUAACUCAACACAUGAUAAGUUGGAUUCCAUUAAAAUGGCUGUGUUGUAUUUUUUUUACAAAUCUGGAUGUAAAACAUUGACAGAGGGACGAUGUUUGAAAUGUUAUUUUUGUUUCCAAGUGCUGACAUGAGCGUGAGUAAAUUGUCAAUAAAGAUUGAUUUCAGCUUCUUCAUUGAAA
This is an RNA transcript of Doryrhamphus excisus (bluestripe pipefish), 7094 nucleotides long. It is a transcript of the gene named prominin 1a, with no coding region annotated. The record is from RefSeq and is a predicted model, not a curated record. Lineage: Eukaryota; Metazoa; Chordata; Actinopteri; Syngnathiformes; Syngnathidae.